GUGGGGAAUAUUGGACAAUGGGCGCAAGCCUGAUCUAGCCAUGCCGCGUGAGCGAUGAAGGCCUUAGGGUUGUAAAGCGCUUUCAGGGGGGAAGAUAAUGACGGUACCCCCAGAAGAAGCCCCGGCUAACUCCGUACCAGCAGCCGCGGUAAUACGGAGGGGGCUAGCGUUGUUCGGAAGUACUGGGCGUAAAGCGCACGUAGGCGGACCAGAAAGUCAGGGGUGAAAUCCCGGGGCUCAACCCCGGAACUGCCUUUGAAACUCCUGGUCUUGAGGUCGAGAGAGGUGAGUGGAAUUCCGAGUGUAGAGGUGAAAUUCGUAGAUAUUCGGAGGAACACCAGUGGCGAAGGCGGCUCACUGGCUCGAUACUGACGCUGAGGUGCGAAAGCGUGGGGAGCAAACAGGAUUAGAAACCCGGGUAGUCC
Molecule: ribosomal RNA, 425 nt
Filed under: uncultured bacterium
Lineage: Bacteria
Description: bacterial SSU rRNA
Rfam family: Bacterial small subunit ribosomal RNA
Source: RNAcentral